GUGUCAGCAGCCGCGGUAAGACAGAGGGGGCAAGCGUUGUCCGGAAUUACUGGGCGUAAAGCGCACGCAGGCGGCCCGGCAAGUGGUGUGUGACAGCGAACGGCUUAACCGUCCGAGGCCAUGCCAGACUGCCGAGCUUGAGCCGUGCAGAGGCCAGUGGAAUUGCCGGUGUAGGAGUGACAUCCGUAGAGACCGGCAGGAACACCGAUGGGGAAGCCAGCUGGCUGGGCACGUGCUGACGCUCAGGUGCGAUAGCGUGGGGAGCAAACCGGAUUAGAAACCCCAGUAGUCC
This 292-nucleotide ribosomal RNA is filed under the name uncultured bacterium. Its description in RNAcentral is "partial 16S ribosomal RNA". It matches the Rfam family "Bacterial small subunit ribosomal RNA", at positions 505 to 796 of the family's 1533-position model. The record is from RNAcentral.